Molecule: ribosomal RNA, 436 nt
Filed under: uncultured bacterium
Lineage: Bacteria
Description: partial 16S ribosomal RNA
Rfam family: Bacterial small subunit ribosomal RNA
Source: RNAcentral
AGCGAACGCUGGCAGCAGGCUUAACACAUGCAAGUCGAGCGGGCAUCCUUGUGGUGUCAGCGGCAGACGGGUGAGUAACGCGUGGGAACGUGCCCUUCGGUUCGGAAUAACUCAGGGAAACUUGAGCUAAUACCGGAUACGUGCGAGAGCAGAAAGGUUUAUCUGCCGAAGGAUCGGCCCGCGUCUGAUUAGCUAGUUGGUGAGGUUAUGGCUCACCAAGGCGACGAUCAGUAGCUGGUCUGAGAGGAUGAUCAGCCACACUGGGACUGAGACACGGCCCAGACUCCUACGGGAGGCAGCAGUGGGGAAUAUUGGACAAUGGGGGCAACCCUGAGCCAGCCAUGCCGCGUGAGUGAUGACGGCCUUAGGGUGGUAAAGCUCUUUUCUCCGGGACGAUAAGGACGGUACCGGAGGAAGAAGCCCCGGCUAACUGCGU